UGGAGCUACAAAGCCAGCCAGCCACGCCCGUGAGGCUAAAACCAGACUUGACCCCCAAAGCUGUUAGCAGAGAAGCUGCUUGCAGUAGCUGCUGCAGAAUCGAAGGUUGUGGUACGAUCAAUACCACAUCAUCGCAGGCAGAAGGUCAGAGAGAACAUUUCUGUGAGUCAUACCUCAGUGGAUUUCUACGUCUUGUUAACGAUACGGUCGGCCGCGCUUUCUGAUGUGUUAGAAACAGACUACUUGGCUCCACUCCCCAGGGUGCCAAAACCCCUGCUACGACUACCUUCCUGGAGACAUUUUGAAGACUAUUUGUUUCCCAUGCCUCUGGCAGAAGGGGCACAUGGCUACCUGUGAUGCCCAUCAGCAUGUCAAAGCUCGUGCUGGCCUCCAGGUUCCCGCAGCAUCACAGGCACCUGUUACCAGCUUCAAAGUCCACACUAGCAUCCUAGCUCUUCUCACUUCCUUCUCUGCUCUAACCUCCCUCCAGCUCACAGGCUCCUUGUUCUUCCUAUUACACCUGGCUAUUCUCACUGUUCUCUCUCUCACGUACUUAUUCUUUUCCCAUCACUUACUCUGACUUACUCUAGCUCUUGUUGUCUACCCCCUCUCACUUUGCUCUACUCUCUUGAUAUCUUGAUAUCUCCACUAUUCUCUCCUGCUCUCCUGUUUCCCUGGCCCUGACCAUGUUCAGUCUACUUCUUUCUCUGUCUGCUUUAGAA
Molecule: long non-coding RNA, 722 nt
Organism: Peromyscus eremicus (cactus mouse)
Lineage: Eukaryota; Metazoa; Chordata; Mammalia; Rodentia; Cricetidae
Exons: 3
Source: RefSeq, a predicted model, not a curated record